Molecule: small nuclear RNA, 109 nt
Filed under: Salvator merianae (Argentine black and white tegu)
Lineage: Eukaryota; Metazoa; Chordata; Lepidosauria; Squamata; Teiidae
Source: RNAcentral
UUGCUUCAGCCGCAUAUGUACUAAAAUUGGAACAAUAUAGAGAAGAAAGAUUGGCAUGGCCCAGUGCAAGGAUGACAUGCAAAUUCAUGCCUGUGGAAUCCACNGUGCU